This 253-nucleotide ribosomal RNA is filed under the name uncultured bacterium. RNAcentral's name for it is "partial 16S ribosomal RNA". It matches the Rfam family "Bacterial small subunit ribosomal RNA", at positions 524 to 776 of the family's 1533-position model. The record is from RNAcentral.
UACGUAGGGGCCAAGCGUUGUUCGGAUUUACUGGGCGUAAAGGGCGCGUAGGCGGCAAUUCAAGUCAGCUGUGAAAUCUCCGGGCUUAACUCGGAACGGUCAGCUGAUACUGCUUUGCUAGAGUGCAGAAGGGGCAAUCGGAAUUCUUGGUGUAGCGGUGAAAUGCGUAGAUAUCCUAAGGAACACCGGUGGCGAAGGCGGCUUACUGGGUCUUAACUGACGCUGAGGCACGAAAGCCAGGGUAGCAAACGGG